UACGGAGGGGGCUAGCGUUGUUCGGAAUUACUGGGCGUAAAGCGCACGUAGGCGGCUUUGUAAGUUAGAGGUGAAAGCCCGGGGCUCAACUCCGGAAUUGCCUUUAAGACUGCAUCGCUAGAAUUGUGGAGAGGUAAGUGGAAUUCCGAGUGUAGAGGUGAAAUUCGUAGAGAUCCGGAAGAACACCGGUGGCGAAGGCGGCCUGCUGGGCAGUUGCUGACACUGAGGCGCGACAGCGUGGGGAGCAAACAGG
RNAcentral lists this ribosomal RNA (253 nucleotides) under uncultured bacterium. Its description in RNAcentral is "partial 16S ribosomal RNA". It matches the Rfam family "Bacterial small subunit ribosomal RNA", at positions 524 to 776 of the family's 1533-position model. The record is from RNAcentral.